This 254-nucleotide non-coding RNA is filed under the name uncultured bacterium. Its description in RNAcentral is "contains 16S-23S intergenic spacer region". It matches the Rfam family "Bacterial small subunit ribosomal RNA", at positions 524 to 776 of the family's 1533-position model. RNAcentral also lists the same sequence under 1 other name. The record is from RNAcentral.
UACGAGGGGUGCUAGCGUUAUUCGGAUUGACUGGGCGUAAAGGGUGCGUAGGUGGCAAACUAAGUUUGUUGUUAAAUUCUUCAGCCUAACUGAAGGUAUGCAAUGAAUACUGGUGUUGCUAGAGAACGAAAGAGAGAAGUGGAAUUCUCGGAGUAGCGGUAAAAUGCGUAGAUCUCGAGAGGAACACCGAUGGCGAAGGCAGCUUCUUGGUUCGUUUCUGACACUGAGGCACGAAAGCGUGGGGAGCAAACAGG